This 684-nucleotide long non-coding RNA is filed under the name Rattus norvegicus (Norway rat). Its description in RNAcentral is "long non-coding RNA NONRATT030913". The record is from RNAcentral. Lineage: Eukaryota; Metazoa; Chordata; Mammalia; Rodentia; Muridae.
AGAAGGGAAAUUACUUUCCAUUUCACUUUCCAUUUCUUUUUUUCUGGUGGCGGGUUUGGGGCAAGGGAAGAGAUACUAUUUUGUUAACAAAUUCUUCUUCCCUUCCAGUAGAUGUUUCCUGGGGUCAGUACAAAUAGCUGUGUUGGACCUUACUUUUAUAACUAUGUUGUAUACAGUGUUGUUUUCAUUGUAUUUCUGAAUAAAGGGGGAAGAAAGUCUCUAGUGUUGGCCAUCCCUGUUUUUGACAGGAGGUCACAGCAGGAGAGCAGCACCCGAAGCUGACUCUUUUUAUGGUGGGGAAAGGAGCCUGCAGUGAAGGGAUUUAUUGGAUUUUUGUCAUUCUUUAAAGAAGUUAUAAAGCAGUAUAUUACGCAUUAGUCUCUAUGACUCUUCUGUUUGUGCCUCCUUAUUUUAAUAGUGCUUUAGAGCAGCACCUAUUUUCACUCCAUUUUAUACUUGUUCCUGUUGAGGUGUGGUGUUGAGCAAUCUCUCAUAUACAAGUCUUCAUGUACCUGAAGAGAAUUGCCUCAGUAAGCAUGGCUAUCCAGAGCUUACUCUGAUGUAGCUCAGUGGGGCACUCCCAUUGCAGCUUCCAGGCCAGGCUGUGUGCUUGAGUACUAAGCAAUCUUGUUCUGUCUGAUUACUGUACUUUUUUAAUAAUAAAAAUAUUUUAAACCAGAAACC